AUCGCUUCUCGAGCUUUUUAGCUCAGAUCAAAGUGUAGUAUCUGUUCUUUACUGUUUCAUCGCAGUAAAAUCCUCUACGAGGAUUAUGUGAUUGAACUAUUUUUGGGACUUAAAUGUCUUUGGGCUUGCUCAAAUCAUUCGUUGGUCGGUCUAGUCUUGCACCUUUGCUAGACUCGGCCUAAAAUAA
Rhabditophanes sp. KR3021 is the source of this 187-nucleotide non-coding RNA. The record is from Rfam. Lineage: Eukaryota; Metazoa; Nematoda; Chromadorea; Rhabditida; Alloionematidae.